This 195-nucleotide ribosomal RNA is filed under the name uncultured bacterium. RNAcentral's name for it is "partial 16S ribosomal RNA". It matches the Rfam family "Bacterial small subunit ribosomal RNA", at positions 298 to 485 of the family's 1533-position model. The record is from RNAcentral.
GGAUGAUCAGCCACACCGGGACUGAGACACGGCCCGGACUCCUACGGGAGGCAGCAGUGGGGAAUCUUGGACAAUGGGGGCAACCCUGAUCCAGCCAUGCCGCGUGUGUGAAGAAGGCCUUCGGGUUGUAAAGCACUUUCAGUAGGGAGGAAGGCUUAUCCUUAAUACGGAUGAGUACUUGACGUUACCUACAGA